RNAcentral lists this long non-coding RNA (884 nucleotides) under Vitis vinifera (wine grape). Its description in RNAcentral is "long non-coding RNA (VVIN_LNC000915)". The record is from RNAcentral. Lineage: Eukaryota; Viridiplantae; Streptophyta; Magnoliopsida; Vitales; Vitaceae.
CUUGAAAAUUGAUCGCGAAAAGGUGUACUAUCCAAAUUCUGUUUUGGCUACCAAGCCCAUCAGCAACUUCUACAGAAGCUCGCCUAUGGGUGAUAAUGUGGAGUUCUCUAUUGCAUUUGCAACCACAGCAGAAAAGAUCGGGGCUCUAAAAGAAAGAAUAGCAAAGUAAGUCUUUUCUCCUAUUGACUAGGGUAUCAAAUUUAGGUUUGUUGGUAUUUUUCUCUCAUUCUGGGGUGUAAUGCAACAUGAAUUUUUUUAUUUUUAUUUUUUUCUGAUAGACAUCCUGCCAAAAAAAUUGAUUGAGCUAAUAACUUUGAAACAACAUGAGUUUUUUUUUUCCCUUCCAAACAAAUCAGUUCCACCACCUUCAUCCAAGCUAGACCCGAUAUGGUUCAUUCUACUUAUUUGCCCUUGUAUAAAAUUCAAAUUCGGCCUAGGGAAAUUGAACUACUAACAUUGUGGUUGCCCUACUCUUUUUCUCAUCUAGGAAAACAUCUUUGAAAGAGGUAGUAUGUCUGAAAAAUCGCAAAAUUUACCUUGUUUUUACAAUUGAUUCCUAGACUCCUAUGUAUGUGCAAUCUGAAAGAUUGAUCUAAGACUCUGGAUACUGGCCUAGUAUCCAUCAAAAUGAGGAAUACCAGCCUUGACAGGAGCAGCCAAUGGAUCCACAAAAGGAGUGCUAUGCAUUCUGAAUACAUUUUGAUGUAAUUAUACUACUCAAUUUGGAAAUUUUCUUAUCAAUUUCUUUUGCCAGGUACCUGGAGAGAAAUCCCCAAUACUGGUUUCCUGCCCACACUCUGGUAGUAAAGGAGAUUGAGAAUGUCAACAAGAUCAAGAUGACUCUAUUUGUCAAUCACACCAUCAACUUCCAAGACUAUCCAGAG